UAUGCUUUGUCUCUCAUUUGGUCCCAUAACAACAACUCAUAGCUCUCUUUCACCAAUAAUCCAAGUAGCCUAUGGUUUCUUGCAUAUCCUUUGAUCUAUGUAUAUAUAUAUCUGCUGCUAAGAGAAUUUAGGAUCAACACAAACCAUUCACAUCCAGAAGCAUUCAAAAUUCAGAAGUUUAUACUUAAGUCCUUUCUUAGACCAUUCUCUUCUCCAGUCUCUAACACAAUCAAUAUAACAAUGGGUUUUCGUUUUCCUCUCAUGAGAAGGACAUUAUUUGCUGGAAAUCACAUAUCUUCUAAAGCAGUGGAUGUGCCAAAGGGCUAUUUUGCAGUCUAUGUUGGAGAGAAAAUGAAGCGGUUUGUGAUUCCUCUAUCAUUCUUGAACCAACCAUCUUUCCGAGAAUUGUUGAGUCAAGCUGAAGAGGAGUUUGGGUAUAAUCAUCCCAUGGGUUGCCUCACAAUUCCUUGCAGCGAAGAUAGCUUCCAACAUAUAACUUCAUGCUUGAAUGUGAUAUAAAUCUCACACUUUAGAAGACUGACAUAGAUUAGUAGAAACUUUUUGUGCAGUAGAAUGACUAAUCAAGAGUAUGCUCUCUCUCUCUUUUCUUGCAUUAUAACAAUGAAUUGAAUUAUUCAAAUGGCUUCUUUGUGUUUUCUGUCCGAUAGUUACAAUGUUUAAUUGUUGAUUUGUCCCUUAAAUAAAAGAAAAAUCUCAAAUCAUGAGUAAGGCUGCUUGAUCUAGGAAAAACUACACUUGGCUGAACUAAUAAAUUUUGAUAGCCGGAACAGAACAUGAGCAAGAGUAUAUUUCUGAGGAGUUAGGAACAUACAGAAAGAUAAUAUACUCAGGAGGAAGUUAAAAUUAUUUUUUCUUAUAAACCAAAAAUAUGUUCAAGAUUAUACAUAUGAAAUUAAGAUUUUUGAGGAGCAUUGACCCAGAUCAUACAUGAAGUGCCUUCUCUGCCUGGGUAGGUCCACAAUAACAUUGGCAUUGGGGUAUUUACAACAACAAAGACUUAUCCCAAUAGGUGAGAUCAGUUAUAUGAAUCAGAUAACGCUAUUUGGCUACAUGCAUCAUAGCCAUGCCUUAAAUUUCCAAAGUUCAAUGAUCAGUUUUUCUCUCUCUCAGGUUUGAGAGCUACUUGUGUUUUAAGAUCAACCGAAGUUCCACCAGAACUUUAAAUUUCUCACUCUAAAUAGUGCAAGUGGAAAUCGAAAAAAAAAAUAAAAAUCUCUAGGUGAUUUGGGAAACCAAAAUAUCUAUAUUUACUAGCCUAUAGGCUAUUUGAGCAAUCUCUUUAAAGAUUGCCUUGUAUCUAAGCAAUUCAUAGCAAGAAUGUAUGAAACUCAAACUUUGGAUUGGUUCUAUCAACUGGAUAUUCAUCUAGUAAGAGAAACUGAGAAAUCAAUAUAAAUCCAAUUUUAAUUUUUGUAUCUUUCAGUUAUAAGUAACAGUCUACACAACAUUCAAGUGUUGUGUUGUGGGGACUAUGUAGUGGAUGCUCCUUUUGCACCACUUUUAUCACGUGGAGGGUGAAACGGAUCUGCAUAAACACUCCACAGUAGACAUUUCUUUUACUGUAUUAGUUAUCAGAAAGUGGUAGUUCAUUAACUUGAAGAACCAAUGUAUAUGUUUUGAGCCUGUCUGGAACACAAGCAGAAGGCCAUUAUAUUGGUUAUGCAAUUAUUUGCUUAUUGGCUGUAAAGUCUCUUUCUGAAGUGCAACCAGGUUGGCAUAGUUCUCAAUUCUCAAAGUAAUCGUUCACUAAAAUCAUGUAGGCAAUAUCAUGUGACAACUCAUUAGCCCCUGUCUCUCACUAGACCCCAUCAAGCAUCAAAUUGCCCAACAACCAUUGAGUUCAUCAGAGAACCGGGUUCACACAGACUCGUAGUAUAUCUAUCUAUAUAUAUAUACACUCACAAUGACAUUCUCAAGCAAGGCAAGCCAAUCACAAAGAACUCAAGCAUUUCUUCACACACAAGCUCUUGCAUUGUUUGGUAUUGUUCUCUGUGCAAUUCAACUCAAAAAACAAUGGGCUUCCGCUUACCCGGUAUUAGAAGAUCAUCUUUUGCUGUCACCAAAGCAGCUUCCAAGGCUAUGGAGGUCCCAAAAGGCUAUCUAGCAGUCUAUGCUGGAGAGAAAAUGAAGCGGUUCGUGAUUCCUAUUUCAUUCUUGAAUCAACCUUUAUUUCAAGAAUUGUUGAGCCAAGCUGAGGAAGAAUUCGGGUAUGACCAUCCAAUGGGUGGUAUCACAAUUCCUUGCAGGGAAGAUGCUUUCUUAGAUCUCACUUCUCGUUUGAAUAGGCUAUAAAUCAUAUUGGAGGAGACUCACGUAGAUUAGUUGAGACAAACUGUACAGAAGACAAUUUUAUUUAUUCAUUAUCCUUCUUUUGUAAGUGGAAAAAACCAUCUAAGUGAGAAAGUUUACAGAAAUGUCAUAUUUCUUUUUUGGUGAAGUUUCAAUGAAUUUUGCCUAUACAAUUUCUCUGCCAAAUUUUGUUUGGAGUAACUAUAGUUUGACAUACAUUAAAAAAUUUUGUAUUUGUAACAGAGAAGAAAAAGUAAAAAGUUGUAAAUCAUAGAUAAAUGUAAAAAAAUUUCUACG
Molecule: long non-coding RNA, 2607 nt
Filed under: Vigna radiata
Lineage: Eukaryota; Viridiplantae; Streptophyta; Magnoliopsida; Fabales; Fabaceae
Description: long non-coding RNA (VRAD_LNC001441)
Source: RNAcentral